AAUUAAGAAAAACUUAAUAAGAAAUGUUAUAGUGAACCAAAUCAACAUUAAUACCUGUAAACUGUUGAACAAUGAUUUGAUGGUGCACUAUACUAUAGACUAGUUAUCUUCCUUCAUUAGUCAUCAAUUGUGAAAAUACCUUGCUUGUCGAUACAUUUGAAGCCCCAUCACCAUUAUACACCUCAUUGUGGAGACCCUCUGGCACUGGCACUGGAAGCUCAUUGGAAAUCUCAGCUACUUCUCCAUGUGUUCCAGAUUCUUGAAGCUGGAAUGCAUAUUCCAAGUUCCACAGUACGUCACCCAUUGUUGGCCUAUCAAUUCCAUAAUCAGCCAAACAUUUCUCGGCAGUCUCCCCGAACUUCCUCAAACAGUUUAGCUUUAUCUGGCCUCUGAUAUGGGGAUCAACAAUCUUGUCUAGUUGUCCGUCCUUCUGCCACUGCAUAGCCCAUUCAGCCAAAUUAACUUGCUCUCGUGUAAGCAGUGGAUCAAUUGCAGGUCUAGCACAUAAGACUUCAAAUAGAACAACUCCGAAGGAGUAAACAUCUGACUUAUCAGUAAGCUGCUGCCUCCGAAAAUAUUCCGGAUCAAGGUACCCAAAACUUCCUUUUACACCAG
Molecule: unclassified non-coding RNA, 615 nt
Filed under: Hevea brasiliensis (rubber tree)
Lineage: Eukaryota; Viridiplantae; Streptophyta; Magnoliopsida; Malpighiales; Euphorbiaceae
Source: RNAcentral